Molecule: long non-coding RNA, 636 nt
Organism: Astatotilapia calliptera (eastern happy)
Lineage: Eukaryota; Metazoa; Chordata; Actinopteri; Cichliformes; Cichlidae
Source: Ensembl
AACCGUUGGACAUUCCCUUUGUUUAACAGGAGUGUUUGAAGGAGUGGCUCUUCCGUUACUCAGGAAACAAAAGAGCAAUUUUAGACUUACAGGAACUCAGAGUCUGAAGCGACUACUGCGGGAGCUGUGUAAGGAAAAUACACCUUUUCACCUAGAAGUUGAGUACAUCUUGAUUUAGAACAGAACAAGAAACAUUGAAGAUGCCUGUUCGUCGUUUUCAUAGUGAACCUCUGGAAAACGCAGAGAUUCUCUAUGAAGACACAUAUCGAACUGGUAUAAGAUGUAACCUCAUUUUCUUCACCCACUCUGGAACACACUACAGGGCUGCAAUAGAAGAAGCUUACCCUCAAUCCAAGGCUAUUCGAAUGGAAAUAAACAAGAAAUUCAAACUUGAGCUCUUUGAUGGAGGCACUGUGUCUAUAUUUGACAGUGGAAUCAUUGUGAUUCAAGUGGUUGUACAUGUUGUCCAGGUUGAUGGCCUCGUCUGCUUGCAGCUUUGACUUCAUGCACAUCAGCUGGUCCAAAUGGUCCACUUCAAGACAAUUUCUGGAUGCUGUUUUGAAUGUGAGUGAUGGAAAAUGGCCUCAUACUUCUUUGCCAGCAUGGCAAUGUCUGCUGUUCCAUACUCAAGCUGAC